GAGAGAGAGACAUGCGCGCAUAUCAAUAAGCGGAGGAAAAGAAACUAACAAGGAUUCCCUUAGUAACGGCGAGUGAAGCGGGAAGAGCUCAAAUUUGAAAUCUUCAAGGUUUUACCUUGUCGAAUUGUAGUUUAAAGAAGUGUUUUCUGCUGAAGUUUUGGUAAAAGUUCUUUGGAAUAGGACAUCAUAGAGGGUGAGAAUCCCGUAUUUGACCAUUAUUUUCAGCUUUGUGAUACACUUUCAAAGAGUCGGAUUGUUUGGGAAUGCAGUCCAAAAUGGGUGGUAAAUUUCAUCUAAAGCUAAAUAUUGGCGAGAGACCGAUAGCGAACAAGUACCGUGAGGGAAAGAUGAAAAGAACUUUGAAAAGAGAGUUAAACAGUACGUGAAAUUGUCAAAAGGGAAGCGUUUGACACCAGUGUUGUUUUCUCGAAAAUCAAUUAAAAAUGGCUCGAUUUUGUAUUGCUUGAGACCUUAAAAGCUCACUGUACAUUUUUCGUGUCUUUUUUAAUGCACUUUUCGUUUAACAAGUCAACAUCAGUUUCUUUUGUUGUAAAAGGGUCAUUGGAAGGUGGCUUUCUUUUCGGAGAAAGUGUUUAUAGCCUUUGGCCUCUGCAAUCGGAGAGACUGAGGUCUGCAGCGUAGACUCUUCGGGGUUAGAUACAUUUGUGCUAAGUUAUAGCUUUUUAUAGACAACUUGUUGACUAUAAUUAGUCUUGUAGCUUACUCGCUUAUGCUAUUUUACCUACGCUUAGGAUGUUGAAGAUGUAGCACAUCAU
RNAcentral lists this ribosomal RNA (776 nucleotides) under uncultured Neocallimastigales. RNAcentral's name for it is "partial large subunit ribosomal RNA". It matches the Rfam family "Eukaryotic large subunit ribosomal RNA", at positions 23 to 620 of the family's 3401-position model. Lineage: Eukaryota; Fungi; Neocallimastigomycota; Neocallimastigomycetes; Neocallimastigales. The record is from RNAcentral.